Molecule: ribosomal RNA, 522 nt
Filed under: uncultured Glomus
Lineage: Eukaryota; Fungi; Glomeromycota; Glomeromycetes; Glomerales; Glomeraceae
Description: SSU rRNA
Rfam family: Eukaryotic small subunit ribosomal RNA
Source: RNAcentral
AGCAGCCGCGGUAAUUCCGGCUCCAAUAGCGUAUAUUAAAGUUGUUGCAGUUAAAAAGCUCGUAGUUGAAUUUCGGGGUCAGUAGGCUGGUCGUGCCACGGGUAUGUACUGGUCUUACUGAUUCCUCCUUCCUGAUGAACCGUAAUGCCAUUAAUUUGGUGUUGCGGGGAAUCUGGACUGUUACUUUGAAAAAAUUAGAGUGUUUAAAGCAGGCUAACGCUUGAAUACAUUAGUAUGGAAUAAUGAAAUAGGACGAUCGAUCCUAUUUUGUUGGUUUCUAGGAUUGACGUAAUGAUUAAUAGGGAUAGUUGGGGGCAUUAGUAUUCAAUUGUCAGAGGUGAAAUUCUUGGAUUUAUUGAAGACUAACUACUGCGAAAGCAUUUGCCAAGGAUGUUUUCAUUAAUCAAGAACGAAAGUUAGGGGAUCGAAGACGAUCAGAUACCGUCGUAGUCUUAACCAUAAACUAUGCCGACUAGGGAUCGGAUGAUGUUAAUUUUUUAAUGACUCAUUCGGCGCCUUACG